Rhamnusium bicolor is the source of this 74-nucleotide non-coding RNA. NCBI's taxonomy places the organism in Eukaryota, Metazoa, Arthropoda, Insecta, Coleoptera, Cerambycidae. The record is from the annotation of a GenBank genome assembly.
GGUAUGGUAGCCGAGUGGGUAAAGCUCUUGUAGCUAUUGACCCAAUAUCGAUGGUUCGAAUCCAUCCCGGAGCA